AUCUGGGAUGAGGAGAGAAGAGGUCAGAGUAUCUGGGUGCUCCUCCACCCCUAGUCUCUGCCCCCGGGACCCUCAGUAAUAACUGCCAAUAUCCAUGCAGCAGUGGCCACCUUGUGACAGGCCACCUGUCAGGUUCUUGUUAUGCAGUAGCCCAGGCUGGCCCCCCAAAGCUGGGACUACAGAUGUGAACAACCACACCCAGCCAGAGUCUACAUCUUAACCUCUAAGUGAAUAAAUAGCCUUUCCUCACCUA
Long non-coding RNA from Mesocricetus auratus (golden hamster), 253 nucleotides. RefSeq lists it as uncharacterized. NCBI's taxonomy places the organism in Eukaryota, Metazoa, Chordata, Mammalia, Rodentia, Cricetidae. The transcript is spliced from 2 exons. The record is from RefSeq and is a predicted model, not a curated record.